This 29-nucleotide small RNA is filed under the name Bombyx mori (domestic silkworm). RNAcentral's name for it is "ovarian small RNA-4263". Lineage: Eukaryota; Metazoa; Arthropoda; Insecta; Lepidoptera; Bombycidae. The record is from RNAcentral.
AAGACGAACAAAUCCUGAAAUCUCGCUGC